This 210-nucleotide long non-coding RNA is filed under the name Lathyrus oleraceus (garden pea). Its description in RNAcentral is "Pisum sativum (pea) long non-coding RNA (PSAT_LNC021613)". The record is from RNAcentral. Lineage: Eukaryota; Viridiplantae; Streptophyta; Magnoliopsida; Fabales; Fabaceae.
AACCUCUAGGAUAAAUCAAGCCUAAUAGUUAAUGUUUAUGAAGAGUUUUAACACAAAUGGUCAUUGGAACCAUAAAAACAAUUGAGUGAGUUGUAUUUACAAAUGAAAAGUAUUCAUAAAAUAAGGUCAAAGUUGACUUAAGAUUCAAUUCAAAAUAAGUGUUAUGAAAAGAGUUUGAAAAAUCAAAGGCAUAAUGUCUAGGUUUCUAAU